RNAcentral lists this long non-coding RNA (427 nucleotides) under Brassica napus (rape). Its description in RNAcentral is "long non-coding RNA (BNAP_LNC018636)". Lineage: Eukaryota; Viridiplantae; Streptophyta; Magnoliopsida; Brassicales; Brassicaceae. The record is from RNAcentral.
GUAAGCAAAAUUUCAUUCCAAUUAUAAAGUCACACUUUUUAAUUAGCACAAAUUACAGAUUAUAAUUUUUUUAGUUAUUAACCUCAACACUAACAAUACCGAAGCCCCGUACCAAUAACUAAUCUAAAAAUAAAAUAUAAUUUUGAGAUCUUGGUACGGGGCUUCGGUAUUGUUAGUGUUGAGGUUAAUAACUAAUCUAAAAAUAAAAUAUAAUUUGGAAAAAGUUAACCAUUCAAUUGAAACUUAUACACACUAAUAUUAUACCUUAUUAGGAUUUAAGAUUCUGCUUUGUUUGAACUCGUGUCUGGUAAAUAAAUAUAUUGCUUUCAUUUAGUAAAUAAGUUACAGUUGCUCAAAAUACAAUUAUGUCAAUAUAUAGCGGUUACACUCCGGCUCGAACUCGAUAGAACCCAAACCGGUCUCAAAC